RNAcentral lists this ribosomal RNA (450 nucleotides) under uncultured bacterium. RNAcentral describes it as "bacterial SSU rRNA". It matches the Rfam family "Bacterial small subunit ribosomal RNA", at positions 330 to 794 of the family's 1533-position model. The record is from RNAcentral.
ACCAGACUCCUACGGGAGGCAGCAGUGGGGAAUAUUGGGCAAUGGGCGCAAGCCUGACCCAGCAACGCCGCGUGAAGGAAGAAGGCUUUCGGGUUGUAAACUUCCUUUAUGAGGGACGAAACAAAUGACGGUACCUCAUGAAUAAGCCACGGCUAACUACGUGCCAGCAGCCGCGGUAAUACGUAGGUGGCAAGCGUUAUCCGGAUUCACUGGGUGUAAAGGGAGCGUAGACGGCCAUGCAAGCCUGGAGUGAAAGCCCGGGGCCCAACCCCGGGACUGCUCUGGGAACUGUGCGGCUGGAGUGCGGGAGGGGCGGGCGGAAUUCCUGGUGUAGCGGUGAAAUGCGUAGAUAUCAGGAGGAACACCGGCGGCGAAGGCGGCCUGCUGGACCGCGACUGACGUUGAGGCUCGAAAGCGUGGGAAGCAAACAGGAUUAGAUACCCGUGUACA